AUUGAACGCUGGCGGCAGGCCUAACACAUGCAAGUCGAACGAGUGGCGGACGGGUGAGUAAUGUCUGGGAAACUGCCCGAUGGAGGGGGAUAACUACUGGAAACGGUAGCUAAUACCGCAUACCAUCGGAUGUGCCCAGAUGGGAUUAGCUAGUAGGUGGGGUAAAGGCUCACCUAGGCGACGAUCCCUAGCUGGUCUGAGAGGAUGACGGGCCCAACUGGAACUGAGACACGGUCCAGACUCUAAGGGAGGGAAGCAGUGGGGAAUAUUGCACAAUGGGCGCAGGCCUGAGACAGCCAUGCCGCGGGUAUGAAGAAGGCCUUCGGGUUGUAAAGUACUUUCAGCGGGGAGGCGUUACCCGCAGAAGAAGCACCGGCUAACUCCGUGCCAGCAGCCGCGGUAAUUC
Molecule: ribosomal RNA, 406 nt
Filed under: uncultured bacterium
Lineage: Bacteria
Description: partial 16S ribosomal RNA
Rfam family: Bacterial small subunit ribosomal RNA
Source: RNAcentral